GAUGAAGAACGCAGCGAUAUGCGAUAAGUAAUGUGAAUUACAGAAUUCAGUGAAUCAUCGAAUCUUUGAACGCACAUUGCGCCCGUCAGUAUUCUGGCGGGCAUGCCUGUUCGAGCGUCAUUACGCCCCUCAAGUCCCCUGUGGACUUGGUGUUGGGGAUCGGCGAGGCUGGUUUUCCAGCACAGCCGUCCCUUAAAUUAAUUGGCGGUCUCGCCGUGGCCCUCCUCUGCGCAGUAGUAAAACACUCGCAACAGGAGCCCGGCGCGGUCCACUGCCGUAAAACCCCCCAACUUUUUAUAGUUGACCUCGAAUCAGGUAGGACUACCCUCUGAACUUAAGCAUAUCAAUAAGCGGAGGA
This 358-nucleotide unclassified non-coding RNA is filed under the name soil metagenome. RNAcentral's name for it is "partial contains 5.8S ribosomal RNA, internal transcribed spacer 2, and large subunit ribosomal RNA". The stretch from base 1 to 120 matches the Rfam family "5.8S ribosomal RNA", at positions 35 to 154 of the family's 154-position model. The record is from RNAcentral.